This is a non-coding RNA of Phascolarctos cinereus (koala), 6376 nucleotides long. Lineage: Eukaryota; Metazoa; Chordata; Mammalia; Diprotodontia; Phascolarctidae. The record is from RefSeq and is a predicted model, not a curated record.
UGGCCAUGUAUUUCUCAGAGCAAGAGUGGAGAAACCUGGAGGAUUGGCAGAAAGACCUUUAUAAGAACAUAAUGAAGUCCAAUUAUGAGACUUUGGUCUUCUUGGGAGCCGCUGUCUUCCGGGAAGCUACAGGAAACAACCCUGCUGCAGCCCCGAGGAAGCACCAGCUCGGAACUGGGCACGGAGACCUCGGAGUUGGGCACGAGGAGCCCGGAGCAGGCACGGGCCGGCUCGGCCUCCAGCAGCGCGGAGCGCAGUCUAGGCUCCCCGGGGCCCGCCCCCUGGCUCGGCACCCAAUCUCGCUGCCCCGGAGGCUCCGGUGAGCCGAGCCGAGGUGGGGCUGCACCCCCCCGGGGGGGGUGGCAGGAAAGGGAGUGCGCUAUGGCCGAGACCGCUCCUGCUCAGGCUGCAGGGUGGGACGUGGGCGCGCCUUUCCGGGGCCUCCAGCCAGACGCCCCCUUCCAGGCCUCAGAGCUUUCCCUGUGGUCCGUGGUGGCGGCGAUGCAGGCGGUGGAGAGGACCAUCUGUUCCCAUGCCAGCCGGCUAAUGACCCUGGAGGGCCGGACAGGGGCCGUGGAGAAGAAGUUAAUCGACUGUGAGAAGACGGCCGUGGAGUUUGGGAACCAGCUGGACAGCAAAUGGGCCACGCUGGAGACUGUGCUCCAGGAGUACGGGCUGCUCCAGAGGAGGCUGGAGAACAUGGAGAACCUGCUGAGAAACCGUAACUUCUGGAUCCUCCGGCUCCCGCCGGGCUGCCGAGGGGAAGUCCCCAAGGUACCUGUGACAUUUGACGACGUGGCUGUGUAUUUCUCAGAGAAGGAGUGGGGGAACCUGGACAAGUGGCAGAAAGAGCUUUACAAGCACGUGAUGACAGGCAACUAUGAGAUGCUUGUCUCCUUGGACUAUGCUCUUUCCAAACCUGAAUUUUUGACCCGAAUUGAACAAGGGGAAGAGCCAUGUGUCCAGAAUCAGUUGGACUCAGAAGAGACAGAAAUAGCAACAAACCCUGAACCUGGGAUCCGGCCUCCAAUUUCUACUAAUGAUGUGCAGCCGUGUGUUAAGCAAGAAGAGCGAGGACCCAGGGAUCAGGAAGACGGAGAGGGACGUGUCCCCAUCGCAGACCUGAACAAAGAGGCUAAUCGGGCCAUGAGCAUAGUGAAGGAGCUGCAUCCUGUGGACACCAUGGAGAGUCUAGUGCUCCCUGAGCCACUGUCCAGAGGAGCUAGAGAAGGACUUCUCCCUGCCCCAGGUUGCAGCUCAGGCCCUGACACCCCAAACGGCUUCCAGCAGCAGCAGCUCCUGCUCCCAAGGCCAGGCCCUGUGCUGCCUCAGCUGGCCACCUGGUGGACCUCCCCAGCCAGAGAGCAACCACAUACUUGUGCUGAAUGUGGUAAGAGCUUCCGGCUGAAAGAGAACUUGAUGAAGCAUCAGAGGAGCCACAGGCAGGAGCCCAUGGAGACACAGAGGAGCAGUGGGCAGCAGGGCCCCAGAGCAGCUCUGCAGUGGGAGCCCCCAGGAGACAGGUCUUUCCCUGGUACCUCCCAGGCCAAGAGCUCCCGGCAGAGGGCAUCUCUCCUGCCCCGCCCACGACUGCAUGCCUGUGCUGAGCGGGGGAAGCGAUGCUCGGGGAGGCGGGGCCUGGGCAGACACCCGCAGGGCCAUCCCCCACCCCGGCCCUACCAGUGCCCGGAGUGUGACAAGAGUUUUGUGUGUUACUCCUGGCUCAAACGGCACCGGACCCUGCACACAGGGGAACGCCCCUUCCAGUGUCCUGAGUGUGAGAAGUGCUAUAGUCGGAAGGAGUACCUGCUCAACCACCAGCGGCUACACACGGGGGAGAAGCCCUUCCAUUGCGCUCAGUGUGGCCACAGCUUUAUGCUGAAGAGGAGUUUCAUCAGACACCAACAAAGGCACACCAGGAAAAUGGAGAAGCCUCCAGGAUGCCCUCCAGACUUCCUGGGCCAUCUGUCCAGUCUGACCAGGGAGAGUUGUGCCCGGAGUCCCCCGGGCCGGAACGGCUGGUUGGGGCCACCUGUUUCAAGGCCCCAGGUGGAGGCACUGCUCUACCCAUGGACAGAGGCCAGGGGCCAAGAUCCUCCACCAGCACAGAACAGCCCUUUGUGGACUUCCCAGGGCCCCAAGUCCAGCCCCGAAACCACAUUUCCAAUGGUGAAGACAGAGAUGUGGUUAUAAGUGGACUAAGGCCAACAAGAAUGGUGUGCAGAGAAUGGGGCAGGUAGGUGGCAUAGAGGGAGACCUGAGUUCAAAUCCUGCCUCCGACGUUUAGUAGCUGUGUGGCUCUGGGCAAGUCACUGACUCUUUCUCAGCCUCAGUUUCCUCAAAGCGCUAUAUCAAUUUUAGCUGUUCUCACCUGGGCUGAGAAUUGUGGAGGAUGGUGGGAGCUGUCCACAUGCGCCAGUGCUGAUCAGAAGCCAGUAACAUGGUGUGACUGGUGAGUGUCCAUGGGGAAGAAGGAUUUACCCUUGCUGUACCCUCUAAGUUUCGGGGAUUCAGUUCAAUUUAAGAAAUGUGUAAGUGCAAGGCACUAUGCUAAGUGCUGUGAAUCCAAAAAUUUAAAAACACAGAUCCGGGCCUAUAGUAACUCGUUCUACUUUGAGAGUACUACAGUACACAGAUUAAGACAAGGUAGGGAGUGUCAGGAGCAAAUGAUACCCAAAUAAAGUGCUCUAGGAAUAAUUUAGGAGUCAGACAGUCAGCAAACAUUUAUGAAAUGCUUCCUAUGUGCCAGACAUUGUGCUAAGACCCGGGGAUAAAAGGAAAGGCAAAAACACUACCUGUCUUCAGGGAGCUCACAUGGAAAAAAUGCAUUCUGUUUUGAGGAUGACUGAAGGAAGGUACACCUGAGCUUAGACUUGAAGGAAAAUAAGGCUUUUAGAAUCUUUAUUAGAAGAUUCUUCUUAGAAUUCUUUCUUUUUAAAUCCUUUAAAAAGCUUUGGAAGCUUUUUUUUUUAGAAGGUGAAAAGGGAGUACAUUCUUAGAACGGGGGAUGACCUGUGCAAAUUAAUACAAGCAGAAGAUGGCAUGUUGCUUCCAAGAAGUAACUAGUAUCUCAUUUUGGCUAGAACGAGUGUAAGUAGGAGAGUAAAAUGAAAUAAGGUAGAAAUCAUGUAGUGGAAGGGAACGUCUGAAAUGCUAGAAUGAUUUAAAGGAAUAGGGAUCCACUAAAGGCCUUUGAGCAGGGGAAGGACAGAAUCACGCCUUGGGAAGAACAUUUUUGGCCAAAGUAGAAAAGAUGGAUUGCAGAAAGUUCUCAGAAUUACCUUUCCAAAUAACUUUAAUAGACUGGCACAUUGAUAGUGUGAUGUGUCCGAUUUUUGGUAGUAGGAACACUCCCUCGAGCCAUGCAGCAAAGGCAGGCAGACGCCAACCCUUCCUUCUCAUCCAUCGCUACAGGUCUUGUCCGCCUUUUUGCAUCAAUCCUCCAUAGCGGGCAUACCCAAUCCAAAGCAGGCCGAUCCAUUCUCUUUCUCUUUAAGGAGGUCUAGGGUGCCAAUAGACGGCUUGGUUUGUCCCCCGGGACCUGUCCGCUCCCUCCCUCACGUGAAACACAAGGCGUGGGAGGUAGCUGCCCCGGCAUUCCUGUGCCUUUGGGGGCAUUUUGGCCCUGAGAUCUCGGUCGUGCAUGGCCUCUGUGGGGUUAACUCUGGUGGCAGAGGGCCGGGGGCCUCACGACUCCGAAGCAGGUACUACAUUUUACAAAUGAGGAAACCGAGGCCAGAGCUCGUAAAGGCCGGACCAAGGGUCACACAGAUAGGAAGGGUCAGAGGCAGGAGUUUCUAAGUCCAGCAGGAGAGCCGCUCACAGCGGGAAGGACCCAGCCCCCAGACCCCCAGCACGGAUGCAGGGCUCCCCUGGAGCCCGGCCUGGGACUGCGCGCACGGUGCGGAGGCGCCCUGCUCUUAACUCAGAGGGAGAAUCCGAUAGGCUCGUUGGGCUUUAUUUGACGUGAAGCAAACCCAAUGGAGUGGCAGGAGAGGCAGCGGAGCGAACCAACGGAAUCCUCCGAAGGCGGGACGCUCCUAUAACCAGCCCGGCCUCCUCCAUCAUUGGCCGUUUGUUCGGCGGACGGCCGAAGAUUGGUGGCCGGGAAGGAAAGGGUGGAGCCCCUGCUGUGACUGAGGCCUUGGCUGAGCACGUGAAGGUGGGCGGCGGCGGUGGAGCUGUCAAAGAGCUCCGGGGGAUCCGGGCAGCGCCUCCGGGUCUGAGUGAAUCCUGGCAGGUUGGGGAAACUUAAUCCUGGCCGCCCUACCCUUCGCCGGGCCUGCCGGGGCAUUGAGCCCGCUGGAGGAACCGAAGACGUGCCUUCCCCCAGGCGCCCCACCCUGGAGCCUCACCCCACGAUCCCACCGUGCCCCGCUGGUACAGUGCCCCUCUUCACCUGGCCCCGUGCCCCCCCAGGAACACAAUAGCUAGCCAAUCAGAAAGCAGCAUGACCAGGAUGUUUGACUGUGGAACCAUGGAAGGGACUUCCUCCCUUCUGUCUUUUUAAUACUCAUCAUUUCUGUUGUGUAAUCUUUACCCUAUAAAAAUCCAUCUUGCUUUCCCUGAAGUUUCUGGUUCCUCUUGGAACCUAGCCCACUUCUGAGAGACAUCAAUCCUCAAUAAAUACCCGUACUUGGAUUAGAGGUGGCCUGACUCUGAAUUCUUUGAGACGGUGCUGCCACAACACACCAUGAAACCACAGCAAGUUGAAAUCAGCUCAGUGGAUCUUAGUUUCUUUGUUAGUAAAGUAAGAGGUUGGAAUAGAUAACCUUUGAGAUGCCUUCCAGCUUUAAAAAUAUGAUGUUUUCCUAUACAUGAUUCUCCCCACUCCCCAGUGCCUUUCUCUUGAGAAAUCUUUGGAAAACCCCAUUCCCUUAGCUUGUUCUUGUCUAUCCUUACUAGUCCUACCCUGAACCAUAUAAUAAUGAUAGCUAGCAUUUACACAGUGUUUUGACAUUUAUAAAGUACUUUACACAGGCUCACUUAUAUUUAACCGUACCCAGAGAAGGAUUACCUUUCCUCAAAUGCCCCAUAUUUCUUUGAGAUGUUUUAUUCUAUUUACUACGUCACCUUUCUUGAUUCUGUUCAUCAUCUAUCUGUAAAAUUAAAAGGGAGAACUAGGGGGUCUCAAAAUUUUAUCUCAGUUCUAAGUCUAUGUACCUUAAGACCUUUACUACUUUCCUUUUCCUUAUAAGCCCAUGAAGCCCUUCGGAGCCACCACCAUCCCCACUAUCAUUCCAUCUCCUCAUUUUUCCUUAAGUGUUUUAAAUUCUUGGUUUUUAAAAAGCUGUUAUAAAGCAAAACAUCAGAGACUGAAGGAAUCUUAGAGAUUUUCUAGUCCAACCCAGUCUAUUUCAGAUGAGGACUCUGAGGCAUACAUAGACUGGGUAAGUGACCUACCUGCCCAAGGUUAGACAAUUAGUGAUGAGUAGAGCUAAAACUUAGGGCCUAGGUCACCUGAUUCCUAGUCCAGCGGCCAUCAAUUCUGCUCUAGAGUCUUAUGAUUCCAGCAUCCUAGCCCCUUUAUUUCUGCCUGCUGGCCCUUAAUUUGUGAGUGUCCUAACUUCUUGACCCCAUUUCUAAAUGCAUCUAGCACACUCUGCCUGUGUGUUCAUCCCUGUACCCCAUUAUUUCCCUCUUCCCAUGGUCCCCACCUUCACAAUCACUCAGUAGUGCUCUCCUAUGUAACUGCUCCUGUACCCCCAAGCUACACUUCUGUUUUGAAUGAUUAAAUAUGAAACUUCCUUGACUGACCUCACCUCACUCUAAUUACUCUUUUUCUCUUAUUCCAAAAGUGUUUAAGUGAAGUUUAAACUAUAUUAUCAUGUGUUUGUAUAAACCUCUCUUAUUCAAAAUGAAGAUAUUUUAGAGUAAGGAGACCAGUAUUCAAAUUCCAGUUUAGGCCUAGAAACCUUUGCACCGAUUGUCCUUGCCUAGAACGUUCUCCAUCCUCCCUUCUGCCUCUUCAUCUCUGGCUUCCUUCAAGACUUAGCUCAAAUGCCACCUUUUAUAAGAGACCUUUGCCAGUGUCCCCAGCUGCUAGUACCUUCUCUAAGAUUACCUUCCCUAGGCUCUUUGUGUAUCUUACAUAGACCUAUUUAUUGACCUGUUAUUUCCCCCUUUGGAAUGUGAACUCCUUAAGGGCAGAGACUGUUUUUGCCUUUCUUUGUACCCAAGCUCUUGGCACAGUACCUUGAAUAUGGUAAACACUUAAUAGAUGCUUGCUGACUGACCGACAUAACCUUAAGCCUUAAUUUUCCUUAUUCUGUAAAUGAAGACUCAUUACUUGGACUACAUGCCUCACCAAGCCUAGCACGUAAAAAGGCACUCAAUAAAUGCUUGUUGACGACUCCCAGGAUGUUAUGAUAAAAGU